RNAcentral lists this ribosomal RNA (368 nucleotides) under uncultured bacterium. Its description in RNAcentral is "partial 16S ribosomal RNA". It matches the Rfam family "Bacterial small subunit ribosomal RNA", at positions 338 to 698 of the family's 1533-position model. The record is from RNAcentral.
CCUACGGGUGGCAGCAGUAGGGAAUCUUCCACAAUGGGCGAAAGCCUGAUGCAGCAACGCCGCGUGGGUGAAGAAGGUCUUCGGAUCGUAAAACUCUGUUGUUAGAGAAGAAAGUGCGUGAGAGUAACUGUUCACGCUUCGACGGUAUCUAACCAGAACGCCACGGUUAACUACAGGCCAGCAGCCCCGGGAGUACGUAGGUGGCAAGCGUUGUCCGGAUUUAUUGGGCGUAAAGGGAAGGCAGGCGGUGUUUUAAGUCUGAUGUGAAAGUCUUCGGCUUAACCAGAGUAGUGCAGUUGAAACUGGAAGAAAUGAGUGCAGGAGAGGAGGGUGGAACGCGAUGUGUAGCGGUGAAAUGCGUAGAUAUA